RNAcentral lists this ribosomal RNA (481 nucleotides) under uncultured bacterium. RNAcentral's name for it is "bacterial SSU rRNA". It matches the Rfam family "Bacterial small subunit ribosomal RNA", at positions 28 to 526 of the family's 1533-position model. The record is from RNAcentral.
GACGAACGCUGGCGGCGUGCUUAACACAUGCAAGUCGAACGAUGAAGCCCUUCGGGGUGGAUUAGUGGCGAACGGGUGAGUAACACGUGGGCAAUCUGCCCUGCACUCUGGGACAAGCCCUGGAAACGGGGUCUAAUACCGGAUAUGACCGUCUUGGGCAUCCUUGACGGUGUAAAGCUCCGGCGGUGCAGGAUGAGCCCGCGGCCUAUCAGCUUGUUGGUGAGGUAAUGGCUCACCAAGGCGACGACGGGUAGCCGGCCUGAGAGGGCGACCGGCCACACUGGGACUGAGACACGGCCCAGACUCCUACGGGAGGCAGCAGUGGGGAAUAUUGCACAAUGGGCGAAAGCCUGAUGCAGCGACGCCGCGUGAGGGAUGACGGCCUUCGGGUUGUAAACCUCUUUCAGCAGGGAAGAAGCGAAAGUGACGGUACCUGCAGAAGAAGCACCGGCUAACUACGUGCCAGCCGCCGCAGUAAAAC